UAACACUUAGAAAUAGGUGCUAAUACCGCAUAAGCGCACAGCUUCACAUGAGGCAGUGUGAAAAACUACCGGUGGUACAGGAUGGUCCCGCGUCUGAUUAGCCAGUUGGCAGGGUGACGGCCUACCAAAGCGACGAUCAGUAGCCGGCCUGAGAGGGUGAACGGCCACAUUGGGACUGAGACACGGCCCAAACUCCUACGGGAGGCAGCAUG
RNAcentral lists this ribosomal RNA (212 nucleotides) under uncultured bacterium. Its description in RNAcentral is "partial 16S ribosomal RNA". It matches the Rfam family "Bacterial small subunit ribosomal RNA", at positions 144 to 353 of the family's 1533-position model. The record is from RNAcentral.